UCAAAGAGUGGAAAGUACCUUGGAGGUGCUCUACUGAGGGCUAAAAGAGGGAUGCAAAGUCAAGCCUGAGGAGGGCAGAAUGGGGGUUAUGUUAAUACUCUUAUUCGGGGAUUUAUUGAGGGAUUUGAGAGGAGAGCCCUGUGAAUCCAAGCCCCUGCAGGAAGGGGGUGCAACUAAAUGCUGACCUGGCUGAGUUAUUGGAAGAGGGACCAUGGCAGGGCUGGCGUGGCUGUUGGGUGCUACAUGGAGAAUGAGCCUGCUCUGCUGUACCCAGCCAAGAAAGAAUGUACCAGCAGUGGGAGAAGUCUUUGACAUUCUCUAGAGGUCAAGAGCUCUGACCAAGACUCUCAAAAGCCUGGGAGGGACAGUGAACAGAAAACACAAAGCAAUAGUGUUCUCAAUGCAGCCACGAAAGCACCACCCCUGAGACCUGCUGGGCUCAGCCUGCUUUCAGGCUCUUUUGUUGAACCUGUGCACAUCAGCUCAAGCAUUCAGUAGUAUGGGCCUCUUUCCACUCCACUCAAGGAACAGCAAAAUGGCUGCUCACGCUGCCAGUGGCAGGCUGUACUGAGGUAUGGCUGAUAUGUAACCACUGGCCUGAUUCAUUAUUUUAUCUUGAAGUUAAAAAACCCCUCUAUUUCCUCACUUUCUCCUCCUGUGGACCUCCUCCAUACACAUUAGUUAUCUCUGUUCCCUGCAUUGUGAACUGUUCACUUACAUCUUCAAAGAAGGUGACUUAAAAUGGAUGCUGUAGAACAUGGUCUACCCAGGUGCAACAUAGUGAUAACCUGAUUGCCUUGGCUUACAAAGUCUGCUGAGGCUGACAGCUAUAGUCCUGUGUACUGAUCUCAUGUCACUUCAGUGCCCUCGCCUGCCUCUGACAAACCAAGAUAUGAGAGCUGCGGGGUGUCCCUACCACAGAGCCAGGCAAAGGUGUAGUCCUGUGCUAUGUUCUUUGUCUUCCAUUUUACAAAGAGAGUUUGAUCCAAAACCAGAGUACAGCAGUGUAAACCCUUCCAGGGCAAGCUCCCAGCGGAACUCUGAGCAUGCACCGUUUUGUGCUGACAAACAGCCUUAGAUCUCAGGGAGGAUCUUAUCGGUAAAAUUGUAUAAUCUUCUCUUUGAAUUUCAAAAUAAAUCAAAAGAGAAACUGAAAUCACCCCCUGCCAUGCUUUGACUGCCCGCCACCAUCCAUAUUUGGCCCAGAAACUAUUUGCUGUAGGAAACCAUCAACCAAGAAAUAAUCUACUGUCUACACCUGUUUAGAAAGCACUUGCUGUAGGGUAAAUAAACUCCCAAAGCAGAGGACUCGAUCUACCAGAGAGGUAGAAAUUCUAUUAAGUGAUGGGGAAAUCAGAAAUUUGAUCCAAUUCCCACCCUCUUCCUUUGCUAACUGAGUAUUAUUUUAAAAUAAAUGUAAUAAUACUGUAUGUAAUAUUACUGGCUGAACAUAAAGGGAGGAAAAAUACAGUUCUGUAAAAAUACCAUGAAAAUUCACCACCACAAAU
This is a long non-coding RNA of Chelonia mydas (Green sea turtle), 1508 nucleotides long. RefSeq lists it as uncharacterized. The record is from RefSeq and is a predicted model, not a curated record. NCBI's taxonomy places the organism in Eukaryota, Metazoa, Chordata, Testudines, Cheloniidae. The transcript is spliced from 3 exons.